RNAcentral lists this ribosomal RNA (319 nucleotides) under uncultured bacterium. RNAcentral describes it as "partial 16S ribosomal RNA". It matches the Rfam family "Bacterial small subunit ribosomal RNA", at positions 356 to 667 of the family's 1533-position model. The record is from RNAcentral.
GGGGAAUAUUGCACAAUGGGCGCAAGCCUGAUGCAGCCAUGCCGCGUGUGUGAAGAAGGCCUUCGGGUUGUAAAGCACUUUCAGCGAGGAGGAAGGCAUUAAGGUUAAUAACCUUAGUGAUUGACGUUACUCGCAGAAGAAGCACCGGCUAACUCCGUGCCAGCAGCCGCGGUAAUACGGAGGGUGCAAGCGUUAAUCGGAGUUACUGGGCGUAAAGCGCACGCAGGCGGUUUGUUAAGUCAGAUGUGAAAUCCCCGAGCUUAACUUGGGAACUGCAUUUGAAACUGGCAAGCUAGAGUCUUGUAGAGGGGGGUAGAAU